This 72-nucleotide transfer RNA is filed under the name Diaphorina citri (Asian citrus psyllid). It matches the Rfam family "tRNA". Rfam says of the family: Transfer RNA (tRNA) molecules are approximately 80 nucleotides in length. Their secondary structure includes four short double-helical elements and three loops (D, anti-codon, and T loops). Lineage: Eukaryota; Metazoa; Arthropoda; Insecta; Hemiptera; Psyllidae. The record is from Rfam by way of RNAcentral.
CCUCCCAUGGCGUAGUGGUCACUGCACUCGCCUUGCACGCGGGAGACCCGGGUUCGAUUCCCGGCGGGGUGA